UACGGAGGGUGCAAGCGUUAUCCGGAUUUACUGGGUUUAAAGGGUGCGUAGGCGGUUUGGUAAGUUGAUAGUGAAAUCCAACAGCUUAACUGUUGAACUGCUUUCAAUACUGCUAAACUAGAGUGUAGUAGAGGUGGGUGGAAUUUUACAUGGAGCAGUGAAAUGCGUAGAUAUGUAGAGGAACGCCAAUAACGAAGGUAACUCACUGGGCUACUACUGACGCUGAGGCACGAAAGCGUGGGGAGCAAACAGG
RNAcentral lists this ribosomal RNA (253 nucleotides) under uncultured bacterium. RNAcentral's name for it is "partial 16S ribosomal RNA". It matches the Rfam family "Bacterial small subunit ribosomal RNA", at positions 524 to 776 of the family's 1533-position model. The record is from RNAcentral.